GAGUUUGAUCCUGGCUCAGAACGAACGCUGGCGGCAGGCCUAACACAUGCAAGUCGAACGAUCCUUCGGGAUAGUGGCGCACGGGUGCGUAACGCGUGGGAAUAUACCCAUAGGUAAGGAGUAACGUAGAGAAAUUUGCGCUAAUACCUCAUAAUAACUUCGGUUCAAAGAUUUAUCGCCUAUGGAUUAGCCCGCGUCUGAUUAGGUAGUUGGUGAGGUAAUGGCUCACCAAGGCCGCGAUCCGUAGCUGGUCUGAGAGGAUGAUCAGCCACAUCGGGACUGAGACACGGCCCGAACUCCUACGGGAGGCAGCAGUGGGGAAUAUUGGACAAUGGGCGAAAGCCUGAUCCAGCCAUGCCGCGUGUGUGAAGAAGGCUUUCGGGUUGUAAAGCACUUUCAGUGGGGAAGAAAUCCUCGGGGCCAAUACCUUCGAGGGAGGACAUCACCCACAGAAGAAGCACCGGCUAACUCCGUGCCAGCAGCCGCGGUAA
Molecule: ribosomal RNA, 491 nt
Filed under: uncultured Gammaproteobacteria bacterium
Lineage: Bacteria; Pseudomonadati; Pseudomonadota; Gammaproteobacteria
Description: bacterial SSU rRNA
Rfam family: Bacterial small subunit ribosomal RNA
Source: RNAcentral